RNAcentral lists this ribosomal RNA (780 nucleotides) under Triticum aestivum (bread wheat). RNAcentral describes it as "partial small subunit ribosomal RNA". Lineage: Eukaryota; Viridiplantae; Streptophyta; Magnoliopsida; Poales; Poaceae. The record is from RNAcentral.
AUGCCGAGGAGCUCGGCGCACGACGUACGGAUUGUGGCGGCUCCUUGGUGCGUGGCAGGCCACACGUGGUCGUGGGUCUGUUUCCUUGGUUGCUUUGCUGCUUUUGCUGUUCUUGAGGAUCUGUUCUUGAAGAAGAGGCUGAUGGAGGGGCAAGAUCUGGUGGAGGAGCAAGACAACGGAGUGCUCAUGAUUCCUCCAGGAUCUCUUCAACUGGAUCCUGGGAUUGAAAUCAAUAUGCAAAGCUUAUCAAUCCAAGAUCUAGAAGUUCUUCAUAUUCAAGCAGACCAAAAUAAGGAAAAGCAGGGACAAGAUAGCAGGUACAAUAUACUUAUGAAGCUUGCGGUUACUGGAGGAUCUCCGAGAGUUCUUUCUCUACAAGUGGUGCAGCAGUCCAUGUCUCGGGCCUGGAGAGAAAAUUAUCAUGGGAUUUCGCAGCUUUCAAGGUACAUCUUUGUUGCGCAUUUCCGCUCUUUGGAGGCAGCCAUGUUUGUGAUUACUCGUCAGCCCUGGAGUAUGGGUUCGGAUAAUUUCUUACUUGAGUGGAUGGAUCCAGAGGAUCAGACUAGAAAUAUUCAGGACUACAAGUUUGAUGUAAUCUUCGUCACUGUCCGUGUGUAUGGUGUUCCUCCAAGAUUUAGAUCCCAAGAGUUGUUAACUAAGAUUUUGCAAAGUGUUGGUCAAUUAUCAGAAUUUCAUCCAUUCAGUCAGGCUAUGAUUCAUGCAAAACCAGACUACAUGUGGGGUACAAUCAAGGCUAAGUGUUCAAUAUUGUCCUACUAG